RNAcentral lists this ribosomal RNA (300 nucleotides) under uncultured Desulfurococcus sp. Its description in RNAcentral is "bacterial SSU rRNA". It matches the Rfam family "Bacterial small subunit ribosomal RNA", at positions 496 to 795 of the family's 1533-position model. Lineage: Archaea; Thermoproteati; Thermoproteota; Thermoprotei; Desulfurococcales; Desulfurococcaceae. The record is from RNAcentral.
GCUAACGUCGGUGCAGGGGACGGGGUAAGACGGGGGGGGCAAGCAUUAAGCGGAAUUACUGGGCGUAAAGCGUGUGCAGGCUGCUUAUUAAGGCAGAUUGGAAAUCCCUAGGCUCAACCUAGGAACUGCAUUUGAAACUAAUAAACUAGAGUAUCGUAGAGGGAGGUAGAAUUCCAGGUGUAGCGGUGAAAUGCGUAGAUAUCUGGAGGAAUACCAGUGGCGAAGGCGACCUCCUGGACGAAAACUGACGCUCAAGCACGAAAGCAUGGGGAGCAAACAGGAUUAGAUACCCGAGUAGUC